Panthera pardus (leopard) is the source of this 279-nucleotide unclassified non-coding RNA. Its record names the gene 7SK. It matches the Rfam family "7SK RNA". From Rfam's summary of the family: 7SK was discovered as an abundant small nuclear RNA in the mid-70s but a possible function has only recently been suggested. Two independent studies have found that 7SK RNA binds the CDK9/cyclin T complex (known as elongation factor P-TEFb). P-TEFb activates transcription by phosphorylating the C-terminal domain of RNA polymerase II. Lineage: Eukaryota; Metazoa; Chordata; Mammalia; Carnivora; Felidae. The record is from Ensembl.
GGAUGUGAAGGUGACCUAGCUGUGACAUCUGUCAUCCCAUUAAUCCUUCACCACUCCUUGUGUGUCCCUCCCUAAGUUGUGCUCUUGGUCUAAGAAGAGCACCAUCCUUGAUAGAGGAGUGCCUUUCUUCAGUCAGAAGUGUAUAAGUAGCUGCAUUCCCUUGCUACAGCCUCCAAACAAGCUCUCAAAGUCCAUUUGGAGUAGAACGUAGGGUGUCAAGCUUGCAAGACUCCAGACACAUCCAAAUGAGGCACUGCACAUGGCAGUCUGCCUUUCCUU